This 253-nucleotide ribosomal RNA is filed under the name uncultured bacterium. RNAcentral describes it as "partial 16S ribosomal RNA". It matches the Rfam family "Bacterial small subunit ribosomal RNA", at positions 524 to 776 of the family's 1533-position model. The record is from RNAcentral.
UACGAAGGGGGCUAGCGUUGUUCGGAAUCACUGGGCGUAAAGCGCGUGUAGGCGGAUUGUUAAGUCGGGGGUGAAAUCCCGAGGCUCAACCUCGGAACUGCCUUCGAUACUGGCGAUCUUGAGUCCGGGAGAGGUGAGUGGAACUCCUAGUGUAGAGGUGAAAUUCGUAGAUAUCGGGAGGAACACCAGUGGCGAAGGCGGCGAUCUGGGUCGAUACUGACGCUGAGGUGCGAAAGCGUGGGGAGCAAACAGG